This 247-nucleotide ribosomal RNA is filed under the name uncultured bacterium. RNAcentral's name for it is "partial 16S ribosomal RNA". It matches the Rfam family "Bacterial small subunit ribosomal RNA", at positions 335 to 599 of the family's 1533-position model. The record is from RNAcentral.
AUCCUACGGGGGGCAGCAGUCGGGAAUAUUGCGCAAUGGAGGAAACUCUGACGCAGUGACGCCGCGUGCAGGAAGAAGGUUUUCGGAUUGUAAACUGCUUUAGACAGGGAAGAAACAAGACAGUACCUGUAGAAUAAGCUCCGGCUAACUACGUGCCAGCAGCCGCGGUAAUACGUAGGGAGCAAGCGUUAUCCGGAUUCAUUGGGUUUAAAGGGUGCGCAGGCGGGCCUUUAAGCCGGCGGUGGAA